This is a long non-coding RNA of Pelobates fuscus (common spadefoot toad), 266 nucleotides long. RefSeq lists it as uncharacterized. NCBI's taxonomy places the organism in Eukaryota, Metazoa, Chordata, Amphibia, Anura, Pelobatidae. The transcript has 2 exons. The record is from RefSeq and is a predicted model, not a curated record.
GAGUCUUUCUGCUACAUAUAAAAUGUGCUUUGUACCACACCGAGUCCCCCUUUUCUUUUCAUUUUCCCUUUAAACCGAAAUAACCACUAGCUCAGUGCUGGGAUCAUCACAUGGAGUCACAAGAAUUUUGGGGAAAGGACAGGCUCCAAAUGUAAUCUGCCAUCGAGUCAGCAGUGAGAUAGCCAUCAAGAUACGAAUACAGGAAAAUGUGGCAGAAAUUUGAUGAUAACCAGUUUUAAAAAAAUAAAUAAAUUAUUCAGACCUCA